This 8268-nucleotide long non-coding RNA is filed under the name Mytilus galloprovincialis (Mediterranean mussel). The record is from RNAcentral. Lineage: Eukaryota; Metazoa; Mollusca; Bivalvia; Mytilida; Mytilidae.
GUCACUUCAUCAACAAAUUGAACAAUGAUGCUGGUGAUAUCGAUAAUAAUAAUGACGAGAAAGUUUAUUGUUAAAUCUAAACAAGAAUCACACAAAGUUAUCAGCUUCACCAUGUUUUCAAAAGCAGGGUAUAAUAAGAUAAAAAUACAUGAAUGAAAACCAUAUUUGCUCCGUUCUCCUUUUGAAUUAUCUCCCCUAUUUACUUAGAUCAGAGAUUGAUUGAUUGUUUGUUGGUUGCUUAACGUCCAGUGGCAAAUAUUUCAUGCAUGUUCAGGACGAUCGGAGAGAGCAGAGACUAUUUUAAAGCAUUAUUUAUUAACUAAUACUAUACAGAUGUAGUUCAAAAUUUUUGUUAAUGAAUAACUAAGUCUGCUAAGAACUGAAGUGUCUCCUAUUAUGUACCUGCAUUAUCUGGACUGUACAGGGAAAAUGAUAUUUCAUUUAUCUUACGGUCCAACGUGCCACAGUAUGAAGCAUUACUAUAUAGUAUAUAUUAAGCACUGAACAUUAUCAGCUAUAAUUUAGAGCCAGUGCCAAAAUGUAGUAGCCUGUGCUACUUAUUUUCUUAACCCUUGCAUUUACAUGGUAAACUUCUGUUACCUUUGUACAUUUUUGUACCUAACUAAUAUUUGUACAAUUAUCUCCUAAAAUUCUCAUACAGUGUAUUACUUUAGGAUUCAAAAAGUAUAAUUUCAAGAUUUUAGCAGAAUGAUCAAAGGAUAGUUAUAAAAAGACUUGCUGUAUAUUAGAUGACUGGCCAUGACAACUGCAUGACAUCCUCUCUUCAACAUAAGUAAUCACAAGUAUCAUAGCUUUUGUGAAGUAGGAUUUCACACUGACAUGAUGUAAAGGAUCAAAUCAAAUUAAAAAAACAACAUUGUGUACUACAAAACACAUAGCAUAUUGAUACAUGUAUCUACAAUAUCAUAUUUAAUUGCAGGUAACCUGAUAAUGAUACAUUAGACGAAGAAGAUGUGACUUGGUUUCAGAUGUGGUACUGUACAUAGCUGUUUGGGUAACAUAGAUGGUAGACAUCACUCAAUGUUGUGUUACAAUAGCCAUGGUCUUCUUGGUAUGCACAUAUUAUAGUCGUAUCAUAUUCUGUGAUUUUAGCUAGGGUGCACUGUAUAUUUUUAUGUCUAUAUAUAAUAUACAUAAAUGUGUUCUUGCUUUGAUAUUGUUUGUUGUGAUCUGCAUGGUUGUGAUAUAUGUAAUGCAUUGUUAAGAAGUAUAAUGUUUAAAUAACAAAACUAAGUUUCAUUUGAAAUAUAUCUUGUCUUGGCUUUGAAUAACCAAAUACUUACCAAAAUAAUGCAUUAAAAUUUUGUUUCUUUUUUAAUUCUAAAUUCCUUGGUAGUAUGAUUGAGGCAAUACCAAGUCUUAUUUAGGCCAUGGAAAGGCUGCUUCUAGAGAGCUUUUUAAUUACAACCAUACAAUAUCCAAAUGUAUGGCUGAAGGGAAUUAACUCUAACUUUUUAGCUGUCAAUUAUUUUCAAUUUCUCAAAACUCAGAGUGAACAAGCUUCUUUCAGAUUAUAUGUAACACAAAUUUAUGUCCUUAAGUUCAAUUAAUAAUCAUUAAAUCUUCUGAAUAAGAUCAACACUAUGACAAGAUUUUUCAUCACAAAUCUUAAGUUAAUGUUUGCACUGAGCCAGUGAAGCUGUGGAAAUGUAAAACUUGGUUCAAUAACAAAAUGGCAUAUAGAGUGAUUUAUUUAUUCAUGAUUAGAUUUGUUGAGGAUGCACAUCAGUAGACAAUCUUAUUAAAUUCCACUAAAUUAUCUAACUAAAUAACAAUGCUUUUCUAUCAUUACUUUACAUCAGUUUAGCUUUUCCACACCUUUUGUCUAGAUGGUAUUUUCAAGAUAAAUAAACAUGCAUGUUUAUCGUCAGCCAAUUUUCUGUUUAAUGUUGUAUAAAAUAAAUCAGGUAGGUGUUGGUAAGUACAUAAAUCCUUUAUGUCGUAAGUUUGUUGUUUGGUUUAAAUGUUUUACAAAUUAUAUUAAUUGUUAUACUGUGGAUUCAUUGAUGAUCAUAAAUAUAUUAGUUAUAUACCAAUUUUUGUGGGAAGAGGGGAAUGACCAAUUUAAAUGAUUAAGGAAUUGUAAAUUUUCUUAAGGAAUGUAUGCAGACUGCGCCAAACCACGAAAAUUGAAACCCACAAAAAUAAAAGAAUCCACAGUAUAGUAUAUAUAUUCUUAAAAGGGAGAUUUUGAAGAAGUGAAUAGAUUAAUAUAUUAAGCAUUGAUUUAUUUUACCCUUUAAUUUUUAACCUGAAAUCAGUUGGACAAGAAAUUUGGAGAAGAGACUGAAAGAUAUGUAACCUUAAGUUUACAUGACAAAGAAAUUUAUUUUUUUAUAAGAUGAACACUUGAAAUCACCUUUCGGAACUAUUUAUUUUAUCCAAAAAAAAAAUAUAGAAAAAUUUAUAAUAAGUAAUGGAACAGACGGUGGAAAUUAGGUUGUUAAGUUGAAUCAUUUUUCAAUAUUUCGAGAAGUUAAUGGACCAUAAACUAUGACAAUGUUACGAAAUGAUUUUGGAUAUUAAAAUGAAAGCAUACCAUUAUACUUCCUUUAUGCUUUACAAUUCAUGAACAAACCUUUGAUACUAAUGUACUAAGGUAUAAACAACAGAACUAAAACUUUCAUAAUUUUUCAAGUAAAUAAAAUAACUUCCCAUGUGCUUUCUGAAUUGCCAUGUAUCCUAGAAGGUAUUAUCUAAAUAGAAAGAAUUCUGAGGUUUCAAUUUUUAAAAUUAUAGACAUUAAUCCACUACACUAACCUUACAAUAUAACCAAACAAAACACAGGUCAAAAUAUGAAUUUUGUUUGAUGAAAAUAAAUAUUAAAACUGAAUUUUAAUUUUAUUUGUGUAGAUUAUGUCAGCAAUUUUUUUAGGAGUUUGUACAUGAACUAAGUGUUAAUUUUGUUUCUUAAAUCAAAUUUGCAUUACAGAGAGGUCUAGAGUGCUUUAAAUUAACUUCUGCAUUUUUUUUUAAUGAAAAUCUGAAAGUUUCUUUUCAUGGUGGAAACCCAUCUCAUACAUGCUCCUUUGUUUUUACAAAAGUAUCUAGACAAAUUAAAAAAAAAAACUAUCAGUAGUAAAUUGUCUGUAUGGUAGUAUUAGUUUCAUGCCCUAUAACAUUUUAAGUUGUUAGCAAUGUUCUUAUCCUUAAAAAAUUAUUGGUCUCUUAUCUCCAGCAGACUUCCUUGUGUUGUCUCAUCUAUGAAAAUUUAAUGAGCAUUUACCGGUAAAACACAUAAAAUAAAACACCACAAAUAAUUCUUGAUUAGAAAAGGGGUGUGGCUUAAUUGACAUAAUUAAAUUCUGUUUCAUGUUCAACACACUAAAUUUAUACAAUUCCUCAAAUCUAGGUUUUAUCUCAUGAAAUAUUAACAGUAAAUUAAGCUAGUCACAUAAACUUAAUUGUAAAUUUGUUGAGAAAACCUAGAGUUAUUUCCCCUUCAGUGAUAAAUUUUAAUGUCAAAUCUUAACAGCAGUUAAAAUGAGAAGUUUAAAGUAAUUUCCUGCAGACCAUUAAACUACAGUUUUGUUUAAAAGCAGUAAUAAUUUUGUCAUUAAAGGUUUUAAAGCACACUAAAAUACAGUAUUUUAUUAUCAUGUUUAGUUGAGCAGGGAAGUUUCCAAAAGAUGUAUGCUAUAAAUGUUUACAGUUAAACCUUGAGAAAAUAGUAAAUACUAAGAAGUCUAUUUAAUGGUCUGUUAAAUUUUAAGAGGCUUAUCAAACAUGAUUAACAUUAGUUUAUGAUUUGUUUUAAUGCUUUAUUAUUGGUUUGAUAUUAUUUUGUCCUAAAUCUGUUCAAUGCAUGUUAUAUUCAACCCCAGAGUCAAGGAAAUUGUUUUAUGCAAGAAAGAACUAAGUCUAUCCAUCAGUAAGAUAUGAAAACAACAAAAAAGAUAUAUUUUUGCUCUGGAUAAUAACUUUGAUAUAGUAAGAUGCUUCUGUCUAAGUUUCUUCUAAAUAUUCUUAAUAAUUUUAUAGAUGUCUUUAAUAACUUUAACCGCAGGUUGUUCCUUAGUGAUGAUAUUCUUUUUUAAUAUAAGUUCAUUUAUAUGUUUUGGAGUUUAGUAUGAAGUCCAUUUUCACUGAACAGGUACACAUUUUUAUUUGGGGGCCAGCUGAGGCCUUCCUCAAUGUUCGUAGUUUUCUUGCUGAAUUGAAGACCCAUUGGUGUCCUUCAGAUGUUUUCUGCUCUUUGGUCAGGUUGUUGUUUCUUUGACACAUUCCCCAUUUCCAUUCUCAAUUUUAAUGAUAUGUCUGUUUGCUAUGUCCUUGUCACUUCAGAGAAAAAUAAUUAUCUUAUACUAAAAUUAAUUCAUAUUCAAUUAAAUUAAUUUAAAAAUGAACUAACAGCAAAUUGUACUAUAAUGAAAUAAAUUUCUGAAAUGAAUUAUGAAUUUUUGCAACAUUUCUUGCUCAUUUCAAAUUUUAAAAUAGCUAUUUCCACUUCAAUUCUGUUGCUUAUUUUCAUUUUAAUUAUGAGAUAUCCUCACUUUCUUGGGUAAUUCAUGAAACAAACAUUAGGAUAAAAGAAAUGAAGAAACCUCUUUGAGUUUCAUGAAAGUAUUAACAACUGAUUUCAAUGUUAAAUGUAGUAUAAAUGAGAAUUUGUAUACGAUAAAAACAAAUGGGUUCAUUUCUGUUUCUCGGCACAAUUAUCACAUUAUUUUUGUAUUUGUUAAAAAUAUCAAAUCUUGGGGCUUGAAGAAAUUGUUUCCAAAAAUGUUAUGGGUAUGUUGUAGAAAAUGGGAAUAGUAUUGGAUUUUGGGGUCUCAUUUAAAAGAUAUUUUAAAAUAUCAAAACCAAUGUAAGUUUUAUGGUAAAAUCAGAUUUUCAAAAGUCAUCUUAUAACCACAAGGUCAAGCACUUGCAUGAAAGACCAAUUUUAUUUAAGACCUUUAUUCUCCACAUCUGUGUUCUGACAGUCAAGAAGAGCCAAUUAGAAGUUCAAUGUAGUGCUCACCUUUUGAAGUCUGAUAUAUCAAGCAAGGCUGUCAUUUCCAGGAUGAGGAAAGAGAAUUAUUAAAAUGUGUUAACAAGUGAAAUAUAGACUAAGGCUCUGUGAAUGCAUACUUUGACUUAAAAUGGUUUACUUUUUACAAAUUGUGACAAUGGAUGGAGAGUUCUCUCAUAAAGUGGCACUCAUACAACACCUCUUUGUAUCUAUAAAUAUGUUUUUUACAUCCUGAUGUCCAAGUAUGAAUGUGAGAACAGUAUAGAAAAUCUUCACCUGUUUGUCCAUAUGUCCCUAAAUGAUUAUGCUUUAUAUUAUGUUAUUCCCAACAGUUGUAAUAAAUCAUUUUUGUAACAAUUUGGUCACUAUGACUUACAUUUGACACUUGAUAAAAAAAAUUUUCAAUGAAGAAGGAUGCUUAGAAAUUUUACUUAGUAUGUCAGAGUUUCAAAGAUAUUCCACUAUCAAAAUCCAUUUACACAAUACAACACGAACAAAAAACUUGGGUUAUCAUGACCUAUAUUAUUAGCUUGAGUGACUAAACUUGGUUUAUAUUAAUUUGUCUUUAUAUCUAUCUUUACCAAACCUAUAAUGGACUGGUAUAUUGUGAAGUUGAGUCAUAUAGAGAAGCCAAUAUACUCUCAACAUUUUGAACUCUAUGACUUUGAUAUAAUGCUUGCACAACUUAUAUCAAGGUUCACAUUUGGUUUGUGGUAAUAGGGGACAUUUUAACACAUUUUUUCUUAUAUUUAACUGUUCUUUUACAUUUUCUGCAACACUGCCAUUAUUUCAUACUAUUUUCUAGAUUUAAUUUUGAGUAUGCUUACAUUUUAAUUUUACCCAGAGCUCAAACAAUUUUCCAGUGAAAUUCAGUCUUCUAUAAUAUCCGUAAUAACGGGUGUGAAUAAUUAUUUUUGUUAGUUGAUUGUUAUUGUUUACAGUCUGUGAAGUGAGUAACAGUAAAGAUACAGAAUUUUAUGAGGUAAGAUUAUCUUUAUCACGUGUUUGUAACUUAUCUGAAGAGUAUUUCUUGUGCUAUCACCGCAACAAAAUAGCUUUCUCUAGAAUCUUUUGGAGAAAAAAAACAAACUUGAUAAAAUAACAAAGUAUUUCAUAUUGUAUACUUAUACCCCCGCUUUAAAUAAAGGGGGUAUACUGUUUUACCUCGGUCUGUCCUUCCAUCCAUUCGUCAGUUCAUCCGUCAGUCCGUCCGUCCCAUGAAUAUUUUUCGUCACAAUUUUCCAAUGCUAUACCCUGUGAUGCGUUUUCAGAUUCAUCACUCGACAACUUCCUGUUUACCGAACACUUGUAUCAUUUUACACAUGAUGACCAAGUUCAACAUUUUCGUCACAUUUUUCUCAGGAACUACAAUACAAGGAUUUCUGAAAUUUGGUUUCAGAGUUUAUAUAUGUCAGCUAUAUCUUGUAAUGUGUUUUUAGAUUCAUCACUUGACAUCUUCCUGUUUACCGAACACUUCACAUAUUUUUACACUAUUAACAUUAUCCACUUGCGGCGGAGGUAUCAUAAGUGGGCAGUAGCUUGCAGUUACUCUUGUUUUAACCUAAUUUGAGCCCACCAAUUUCCCAACAUAUAAGAAUCAUAUUUGUUGACCCAAUUGUGGUCUUUCAAAUUAAUACUUCUGAUAUCCAAAAAAAAAGAAAAAAAAAGAAGGUGUCGUUGAUCUCAUUUUCAGUGUUCGAUAACUUACUUAUUGAUCAUUAAGUUUCUUGAUGGGAAAGUUUUGCAACUAUAUGUACUAUGAUAGAUAUAAGAAGAUGUGGUAUGAGUGCCAAUGAGACAAUUGAGGCAUUGAGGCUUGACUCACCAUGCCCGGCAAGCUAUUAAGGGCCCCAAAAAAUGACUAGUGUAAAACCAUUCAAAAAACAAAAACCAAUGGUCCACUCUAUUUAAUAAAUAAGGAAUGAGAAACGCCUAUGAAUCACAUCAACAAACAACAACUACUGAACAUCAGAUUCCUGACUUAGGACUGCAUGGUUCAAACAAAUGCAGCAGGUUUAAAUGUUAUAUAAGUAUAUUUCACUUGAAAAAACUACUUUAUGGUUUGUUUUCUCUCGUUGUCAGAGUUUUGUUCUUUGUUCGUUGAUCAGUGUUAAGUUCUCUUUUAAUACAUGUAGUUAAAGACCCUUAUUUCAAAAUAGAAUUAUUUAUUUAUAAUCAUGCAGGCAAGACAUUUCAGAAUGUCACCUCUUGUCAAACUGUUCAAUUAAUAUGAAUAAAAGGAGAUGUGAGGUAUACAAUUAAUGUGAAUAAAAGUAGGAUAUUGUAUUGGUUAUUGUGACAGCCAUACAACAACAAAAUCAUACUAAGUAUACAUUUGAUGAAAGAUUGAUGAAAUUUCAAUACAAAUUUUCAUUUCAUCUUCUCAUUUGCCUCUUUUCCCAGGUUUGUUUGUCUGUCUGAAAUACAUAUUUGAUACUCGGAGUCGCAGCUGUUUUAUACUUAUUUGACCAAUUUGUGAUCUAAUUGUAUUAGUUGAUGUAAGCUAGGAGUUCCCAGUAGGAAAAUACACCUAAUGGCAAUGCCUUCAUUAUAAAACUUGAAAGAAUAUCUGUUUUAUUAAGUUAGCAAUGAUAUACAUGAGACUUUUCAUUAAAGAAAUUGUUAAAAAAGUCGGGUUGGUUAUUGUUAAGUCUAACCAAUCAAUGCUUAUUUGUCAAUUAUAGACAUGUUUUUAUAUCUCUUAUGGACAUUUUCUCAUCUUGAUGACAUUCUAACCUUAUCAUUAUUCCCCAUUGAUGUCGUUUUUAUUCACGUUUAUCUGUUCCCUAGUAUAAAAUCAAAUUUGGUAAUCUACUAGAUUUCACUAUACUGUCUUGUUUAGUGUCAUUCAACUUGGGAUUCAAUUUUCUUCAUUUUUCUCCCGGUGGCCACUGGAAUAGUGUCAUGCAUUUGAAGGAGUUAAUUUCUUUAUUUGGAAACGUUUAGUUGCAUAUUGGUUAGAAAGGAAAUAACAAAAUACUUGGAACGUUGAUUGACGAUGAAAGUUUGCAUUGGCUUAGAUUAGGUCGUGUAAUGUCUUUUUAUCAGCGUUAGCAAUCUUUAUCAAUUAUUGACGAACAAUAGAAUCGUAUCGUUUGAUAUCGUCAGUACAAUCAAGUCUCAUUUUUACUACAUUGGAAUGCAGUGAUGUGAACGAGAGCUGAUUUACUGUGAGAGGAUUGUUUUUAAAAGUGAUUAAGAUUUCUUCAUCCUUGAACGAUUUUUUAACCUUAUAUAAUUGUUACAGAUAAUGGCGUUAGGAUUCUAGCAGAGAAGAAGAAGGAAAAAAAAAA